This 253-nucleotide ribosomal RNA is filed under the name uncultured bacterium. Its description in RNAcentral is "partial 16S ribosomal RNA". It matches the Rfam family "Bacterial small subunit ribosomal RNA", at positions 524 to 776 of the family's 1533-position model. The record is from RNAcentral.
UACGUAGGGUGCAAGCGUUAAUCGGAAUUACUGGGCGUAAAGCGUGCGCAGGCGGCUUUGCAAGACAGAUGUGAAAUCCCCGGGCUUAACCUGGGAACUGCAUUUGUGACUGCAUGGCUGGAGUGCGGCAGAGGGGGAUGGAAUUCCGCGUGUAGCAGUGAAAUGCGUAGAUAUGCGGAGGAACACCGAUGGCGAAGGCAAUCCCCUGGGCCUGCACUGACGCUGAGGAGCGAAAGCCAGGGGAGCAAACGGG